Telopea speciosissima is the source of this 135-nucleotide long non-coding RNA. RefSeq lists it as uncharacterized. The transcript has 3 exons. The record is from RefSeq and is a predicted model, not a curated record. Lineage: Eukaryota; Viridiplantae; Streptophyta; Magnoliopsida; Proteales; Proteaceae.
GCUUUGAGAUCCGUGAUCUGGAUCUGCUUAGGGACCAUUUCUGGAUCCGGUCCCAACCGCUCCGUGCCACAGACGAUCACAUCUACACUUGCAGUUGAAGAAAAAGAAGAAGAAGCUACGCUGGGGUGGUUCUUC